UACAGAGGUCUCAAGCGUUGUUCGGAAUUACUGGGCGUAAAGCGCACGUAGGCGGCUACUCAAGUCAGAGGUGAAAGCCCAGGGCUCAACCCUGGAACUGCCUUUGAAACUAGGUAGCUAGAAUCUUGGAGAGGUCAGUGGAAUUCCGAGUGUAGAGGUGAAAUUCGUAGAUAUUCGGAAGAACACCAGUGGCGAAGGCGACUGACUGGACAAGUAUUGACGCUGAGGUGCGAAAGCGUGGGGAGCAAACAGG
Molecule: ribosomal RNA, 253 nt
Filed under: uncultured bacterium
Lineage: Bacteria
Description: partial 16S ribosomal RNA
Rfam family: Bacterial small subunit ribosomal RNA
Source: RNAcentral